This 21-nucleotide small RNA is filed under the name Arabidopsis thaliana (thale cress). Its description in RNAcentral is "Ath_wt_06485". The record is from RNAcentral. Lineage: Eukaryota; Viridiplantae; Streptophyta; Magnoliopsida; Brassicales; Brassicaceae.
UGGCGCGAAGCUACCGUGCGC